Molecule: ribosomal RNA, 179 nt
Filed under: Clostridioides difficile
Lineage: Bacteria; Bacillati; Bacillota; Clostridia; Peptostreptococcales; Peptostreptococcaceae
Description: partial 16S ribosomal RNA
Rfam family: Bacterial small subunit ribosomal RNA
Source: RNAcentral
GAAUGCGUUCCCGGGUCUUGUACACACCGCCCGUCACACCACGGGAGUUGGAGACGCCCGAAGCCGAUUAUCUAACCUUUUGGAAGAAGUCGUCGAAGGUGGAAUCAAUAACUGGGGUGAAGUCGUAACAAGGUAGCCGUAUCGGAAGGGGCGGCUGGAUCACCUCCUUUCUAAGGAGA